CGCGUGUGUGAAGAAGGCCUUCGGGUUGUAAAGCACUUUCAGUGAGGAAGAAAGCCUUGAGGUUAAUACCCUCGAGGGAGGACAUCACUCACAGAAGAAGCACCGGCUAACUCCGUGCCAGCAGCCGCGGUAAUACGGAGGGUGCGAGCGUUAAUCGGAAUUACUGGGCGUAAAGCGCGCGUAGGCGGCUUGAUAAGCCGGUUGUGAAAGCCCCGGGCUCAACCUGGGAACGGCAUCCGGAACUGUCAGGCUAGAGUGCAGGAGAGGAAGGUAGAAUUCCCGGUGUAGCGGUGAAAUGCGUAGAGAUCGGGAGGAAUACCAGUGGCGAAGGCGGCCUUCUGGACUGACACUGACGCUGAGGUGCGAAAGCGUGGGUAGCAAACAGGAUUAGAUACCCUGGUAGUCCACGCCGUAAACGAUGUCGACUAGCCGUUGGGCUCCUUGAGAGCUUUGUGGCGCAGUUAACGCGAUAAGUCGACCGCCUGGGGAGUACGGCCGCAAGGUUAAAACUCAAAUGAAUUGACGGGGGCCCGCACAAGCGGUGGAGCAUGUGGUUUAAUUCGAUGCAACGCGAAGAACCUUACCUACCCUUGACAUCGAGAGAACUUUCCAGAGAUGGAUUGGUGCCUUCGGGAGCUCUCAGACAGGUGCUGCAUGGCUGUCGUCAGCUCGUGUUGUGAAAUGUUGGGUUAAGUCCCGUAACGAGCGCAACCC
RNAcentral lists this ribosomal RNA (714 nucleotides) under Halomonas sp. 22PHE-1. Its description in RNAcentral is "bacterial SSU rRNA". It matches the Rfam family "Bacterial small subunit ribosomal RNA", at positions 398 to 1104 of the family's 1533-position model. The record is from RNAcentral. RNAcentral also lists the same sequence under 3 other names. Lineage: Bacteria; Pseudomonadati; Pseudomonadota; Gammaproteobacteria; Oceanospirillales; Halomonadaceae.